AAAAUUUGGUGCACACUGAAAAACGCGUGUAGCGGGUUAUUUAACAGUGUGCACCACAUUUUUUAUGUUAUUUCGAAUAGACAGAAAAAAUAUUACAGUCAUUUCUUAUAAUUUAAUUCUAAAUUCUAUUUUAAACCGUUGAAAACCAUGAAAAAACGUUGAUGACGUCACGGUCACAUGACUAAAUUAUGUCUAUGGGCUCAUAACAAAAUAACGUCAGCCAAUCAGAAGACGCGUUACAUCCAAAAUUAAAUUAUUUGUUAAUAUGCCAAUUUGAUUAUUUUCCUAUAUUUGAAUUCUUUUAUAAGCUAUUUGUGUUAUUACAUUGACAAUGUGUUUUAAUGGAAAUAAAUUAAAAGCGCACGGA
Molecule: long non-coding RNA, 367 nt
Filed under: Mytilus galloprovincialis (Mediterranean mussel)
Lineage: Eukaryota; Metazoa; Mollusca; Bivalvia; Mytilida; Mytilidae
Source: RNAcentral